UGUUGCGUUACAGUAAAAUACUAUAUCAGUUUUGUUUUUAUCUUUCAUUUGAAAGGGUUACAAAAAUGCAAUAUAAUAAAACAAUUAAUACGUUUCUUAUGUACAUCUAUUUACCUAUCAUGCAAUUCUAAUGAUGGCUCAGUAGUCUUAUCGACCAUUGCCCAUUAGAAAUCCAAGCAUAAUGCCUGGUUGUUAAGAUGAGAAGAGCCAGAUGUUGCCCACAUAUCAGUCGCCCUUUCCUUACACAAUUGGUGGAAUCAAAUAUAUCUAACCUAAUCCUUACAUAACAUGAUUUUAUUUAAGUUAUACUGAGCUGAUUAAAAUGAAGAUCGCAGUUCUCCUUCUUCUGGUGUGUCUUGCAAAUCUCUGUGUUGUAUCGGUCAGUUGUUGUAAAAGGACUGGUGAAGACUGUGUAAGUAAGAAGUGGUGCUGUGAAGAUAAUGAUUGUGUGGUUAAUAGAAGAAGAGAUAAAGGAGAUGGUGGAGAAAAAAUAUGUUGGCCUGCAAAGUAAAAAGAAAAUGAAUGAAAGAAUCUUUAAGAAAAAAUAAACAUCUGAUUCUGGCAUUGA
This is a long non-coding RNA of Physella acuta, 568 nucleotides long. RefSeq lists it as uncharacterized. NCBI's taxonomy places the organism in Eukaryota, Metazoa, Mollusca, Gastropoda, Physidae. The record is from RefSeq and is a predicted model, not a curated record.